This 457-nucleotide ribosomal RNA is filed under the name uncultured bacterium. Its description in RNAcentral is "bacterial SSU rRNA". It matches the Rfam family "Bacterial small subunit ribosomal RNA", at positions 340 to 789 of the family's 1533-position model. The record is from RNAcentral.
UACGGGAGGCAGCAGUGGGGAAUAUUGCACAAUGGGCGCAAGCCUGAUGCAGCCAUGCCGCGUGUAUGAAAAAGGCCUUCGGGUUGUAAAGUACUUUCAGUCGUGAGGAAGGUGUUAAGGUUAAUAACCUUAGCAAUUGACGUUAGCGACAGAAGAAGCACCGGCUAACUCCGUGCCAGCAGCCGCGGUAAUACGGAGGGUGCGAGCGUUAAUCGGAAUUACUGGGCGUAAAGGGCACGCAGGCGGUUAAUUAAGUUGGAUGUGAAUCCCCGGGCUUAACCUGGGAAUGGCAUUCAAGACUGGUUAGCUAGAGUCUUGUAGAGGGGGUAGAAUUCCGAUGUGUAGCGGUGAAAUGCGUAGAGAUGUGGAGGAAUACCGGUGGCGAAGGCGGCCCCUGGACAAAGACUGACGCUCAUGUGCGAAAGCGUGGGGAGCGAAACAGGGAUUAGAUACCCGU